This 69-nucleotide microRNA precursor is filed under the name Bombyx mori (domestic silkworm). Its description in RNAcentral is "mir-2774 microRNA precursor family". It matches the Rfam family "mir-2774 microRNA precursor family". The record is from Rfam by way of RNAcentral. Lineage: Eukaryota; Metazoa; Arthropoda; Insecta; Lepidoptera; Bombycidae.
ACAACAUUCGGACCGAAACAUUCUACCGAGCAAUAUCAUGCGUUAGGUGGAAGAUCUUCCCUUUGUCGU